GCCUCGGUGGUGUAGUGGUAGUAGCACGUGUCCCCAGUAUGGAUGAAACGUGGGUUCGGUUCUCUCCUGAGGCC
Parelaphostrongylus tenuis is the source of this 74-nucleotide non-coding RNA. The record is from the annotation of a GenBank genome assembly. Lineage: Eukaryota; Metazoa; Nematoda; Chromadorea; Rhabditida; Metastrongylidae.